GGCCAGGUAGCUCAAGUGGUUAGAGCAUUGUCCUGAUACACCAAUGUUUCGGGUUCGAAUCCUGGUCAGGACA
This 73-nucleotide transfer RNA is filed under the name Myotis myotis. It matches the Rfam family "tRNA". From Rfam's summary of the family: Transfer RNA (tRNA) molecules are approximately 80 nucleotides in length. RNAcentral also lists the same sequence under 1 other name. Lineage: Eukaryota; Metazoa; Chordata; Mammalia; Chiroptera; Vespertilionidae. The record is from Rfam by way of RNAcentral.